Molecule: ribosomal RNA, 693 nt
Filed under: Gordionus wolterstorffii
Lineage: Eukaryota; Metazoa; Nematomorpha; Gordioida; Chordodea; Parachordodidae
Description: small subunit ribosomal RNA
Source: RNAcentral
AAAUUUAGUUUUAGUUUAAAGGUUAUAAUUAUUACACUCAAUAAUCUACCCCACCAGGGAUAGCGGUUGAGUAUUCUAAACAACUCAAAGAGAGGUUUGGGUCCUAAAUUAUAUUUUAAUAAAUUUGUGCCAGCAUUAGCGGUUAUACAGAUAAGUUUAAUACCUUUAUAGAAGUAAAUAAAACUUUAGAAAAUUUGUUGUUUUAUAGUAAAAUAUAAGAUAAAUUUAUUUGACCCCUAAAGAGUUUAAAUAAAUUUUAAACAAAAAGGACUAGGAUUAGAUACCCUAUUACUUUCAAUUUGUAAUUAUUUAUCUUAAGUAGUAUUAAUUGAAACUUAAAAAAUUUGGCGGUAGUUUAUUUUCCACCCUAAAGGGCUUAGCUUUAUAUCUUGAUAACACGCAGUAGGUCUUACUUAAAAUAAUUUUGUGUAUGGCUGUUUCUUUUUGUUUAAAAUUUAUUUAAAAACAGUUAAUAUAUAACAAUGUUCAAGUAACACGCAAAACUUUUAUAGGUAAAGUGGUGCACUUUUUGUUAGACAGAGCAAGGAUGCCCGCCUUGGCUCGAGAUAGGAUUUAGCAGUAAAUUUUAAUAGAACACCAAAUUGAAUAUUGUGUUCUAAACUAUGCACAUAUCGCCCGUCAUUUCUGGAAAGAACAAGUCGUAACAAAGUAGCCCUUUUUGAAAAAGGGGCU